UGGAGUGGUGUCCAUAGCCAACAGUGAGU
Molecule: non-coding RNA, 29 nt
Filed under: Mus musculus (house mouse)
Lineage: Eukaryota; Metazoa; Chordata; Mammalia; Rodentia; Muridae
Source: RNAcentral